UCCCAUGGACAGGGGAGCCUGGUGGGCUGCUGUCUAUGGGGUCACACAGAUUGGGACACGACUGAAGCGACUUAGCAGCAGCAGCAAUCUAUAAAAAUAAUGGAUCACUGUGCUGCAUACCUGAAAUCAGUAUAAUACUGUAAAUCAAUGAGACUUCAAUUAAAAAUGUUAGCAAUUUUUAAAAAGUAAAAGUGUGUUCUAGAAUCAAUAAGACAUCAUAAUUUCUUUCUUUCACUUUAUUCCAAAGAAAUUUCUACUUCACAAGAACCUACAGUUGUACAUUUCAUUUAUUUAAAAUUGCUAGAAAGCUCAAUCUCCAGAGAGCACUGCAUUCAAAGCAGCAACAGUCCAAGAUCCAAAAAAUAGCUGCAAAGGAAAUAAAUUUGUUCUGAAAUAUCUAUAAAACGUACCAAAAUAGGAUUUGGUUCAUAACAUGCUACAAAGUCUCUUAAAACUCUUUCUGGAAGUUCCCUGGUUGUCUAGUGGUUAGGACUCAGUGUUUUCACUGCUAUGGCCAGAGUUCAAACUCUAGUUAGGAAACUAAAAUCCUGCAGACAGCAUGGCACUGCUUAAAAAUUAAAUAAAUAACUACAUGCAUACAUAUAUAUGUACAUAAAUUCAAACUGAAAAAGAAAAAGCAUUUCUCUCCAAAUUUCAAGCUCUUGCCUUCUCUCCUCCAUACCUUCAUCUCUGGAUUUAUCCUAUUUUCUUUAACCUUUUGAGUAAUCCUUUAAUCUUCCCAAUGUAAAUCAUCCUGUCCUUCUUGAAUGCUCCAGUCUUGCUUAAUUCAGCCCCCAAAAGACUCAUAAGUGAAGUGGGCAAAAAUGGAAUUAUUCUUAUACUGGGAGAGGCUUUAAAUACUUCAGUAGCAACAUUUUUCAUACAUUCAGUUAACACAAUUUAAUAAACACCUACUAUGUUCCCAGGAACCAGUUCUGCCCCAGACUCAAUUGGAUUGGAAGCUCAGCUUUUUUCUUGAUUGUAAUUGUUCCAAGAAAAGUAUAUCUUUAAGGUUAUCUCCUAAAAAUGAAUCAUAUUGUAUGGCUGUACCCCAGUACAGAUAAAAAGGGAAGGU
This 1075-nucleotide long non-coding RNA is filed under the name Capra hircus (goat). RNAcentral's name for it is "lncRNA (ENSCHIG00010009484.1)". The record is from RNAcentral. Lineage: Eukaryota; Metazoa; Chordata; Mammalia; Artiodactyla; Bovidae.